GCAGAGUAGGAUCAUAGGUGUAAAAUAGUGCCGGAAAGACGGGGAGUUGCUUUCCGGACGAAAAUGCGAAAGCUGGCAGUUUAUGAUCCGCAUCCCGCUGC
Molecule: non-coding RNA, 101 nt
Filed under: bovine gut metagenome
Description: THF riboswitch
Rfam family: THF (Tetrahydrofolate) riboswitch aptamer
About the family: THF riboswitch presents a pseudoknot that joins P1-P2 and the loop of P3 and two THF binding.
Source: RNAcentral